AUUGAACGCUGGCGGCAGGCCUAACACAUGCAAGUCGAGCGGAUGAAGGGAGCUUGCUCCUGGAUUCAGCGGCGGACGGGUGAGUAAUGCCUAGGAAUCUGCCUGGUAGUGGGGGAUAACGUCCGGAAACGGGCGCUAAUACCGCAUACGUCCUGAGGGAGAAAGUGGGGGAUCUUCGGACCUCACGCUAUCAGAUGAGCCUAGGUCGGACUAGCUAGUUGGUGGGGUAAAGGCCUACCAAGGCGACGAUCCGUAACUGGACUGAGAGGAUGAUCAGUCACACUGGAACUGAGACACGGUCCAGACUCCUACGGGAGGCAGCAGUGGGGAAUAUUGGACAAUGGGCGAAAGCCUGAUCCAGCCAUGCCGCGUGCGUGAAGAAGGUCUUCGGAUUGUAAAGCACUUUAAGUUGGGAGGAAGGGCAGUAAGUUAAUACCUUGCUGUUUUGACGUUACCAACAGAAUAAGCACCGGCUAACUUCGUG
Molecule: ribosomal RNA, 484 nt
Filed under: uncultured bacterium
Lineage: Bacteria
Description: partial 16S ribosomal RNA
Rfam family: Bacterial small subunit ribosomal RNA
Source: RNAcentral